Non-coding RNA from Acanthosepion pharaonis, 111 nucleotides. NCBI's taxonomy places the organism in Eukaryota, Metazoa, Mollusca, Cephalopoda, Sepiida, Sepiidae. The record is from the annotation of a GenBank genome assembly.
GGCCAUAUCACGUUGAAACACCAGCUCCCGUAUGAUCACCGAUGUUAAGUAUCGUCGAACCUGGUCAAUAUCUAGAUGGGUGACGGCUAGGGAAUACCAGGUGCUGCAUGC